CAAUAGCGUAUAUUUAAGUUGUUGCAGUUAAAAAGCUCGUAGUUGGAUUUCGGGUGGGUGUUAGCGGUCCGGCUCUGCUGUGUACUGCUAGUGCCUAUCUUUCUGUCGGGGACGGGCUCUUGGGCUUCAUUGUCCGGGACUCGGAGUCGACGUGGUUACUUUGAGUAAAUUAGAGUGUUCAAAGCAAGCGUUCGCUGUGAAUACAUUAGCAUGGAAUAACACGAUAGGACUCUGGCUUAUCUUGUUGGUCUGUAAGACCGGAGUAAUGAUUAAGAGGGACAGUCGGGGGCAUUCGUAUUUCAUUGUCAGAGGUGAAAUUCUUGGAUUUAUGAAAGACGAACUU
Molecule: ribosomal RNA, 343 nt
Filed under: uncultured Chlorophyta
Lineage: Eukaryota; Viridiplantae; Chlorophyta
Description: SSU rRNA
Rfam family: Eukaryotic small subunit ribosomal RNA
Source: RNAcentral